UCCAGGAAUAUAUAUUACCGAAUUAAUAGGUAGGUGUUGAAGGUGGGGAUUAAACUCACAACCUCACAGAAUGAAGAAAUUUAGAAUUGACUCUGAUACCAUAUUACCCAGAAGAUUGAUCUAGUAAAAAACGUGUCUAUAAAUAUAUAUUACCACCUCGCUAAUUCUGUUGGGCAAAAAUAAAUUGAAACUACAGUACGUAGAGAUGUACUUCUCUGUUUUCUGACGGGAUUAGCAUACCUUAAAAGAAUUAGUGGUUGUGCACAAUGCGUUAUUAUUUACAGAAACAAACAAAAUAUUUUUCUAAUAUAGUUUCUCACCAUACACAACACAUUCUACCUGCAAUUCCAAUCGGAUACUUCGCUUUCUUCUCUCAAGUAUCUUGGGCCAACAAAUAAAUUAGACUAGGUCAAUAAUUGGAAACACAUACAAUAAGAUUAA
This 441-nucleotide long non-coding RNA is filed under the name Ananas comosus (pineapple). RNAcentral's name for it is "long non-coding RNA (ACOM_LNC018252)". Lineage: Eukaryota; Viridiplantae; Streptophyta; Magnoliopsida; Poales; Bromeliaceae. The record is from RNAcentral.